This 71-nucleotide transfer RNA is filed under the name Loxodonta africana (African savanna elephant). It matches the Rfam family "tRNA". Rfam says of the family: Transfer RNA (tRNA) molecules are approximately 80 nucleotides in length. Their secondary structure includes four short double-helical elements and three loops (D, anti-codon, and T loops). Lineage: Eukaryota; Metazoa; Chordata; Mammalia; Proboscidea; Elephantidae. The record is from Rfam by way of RNAcentral.
GCAGUGAUGGUUCAGUGGUAGAAUUCUUGCCUUCCAUGCAGGAGACCCAGGUUUGAUCCCCAGCCAAUGCG